Molecule: ribosomal RNA, 222 nt
Filed under: Vibrio sp. F12
Lineage: Bacteria; Pseudomonadati; Pseudomonadota; Gammaproteobacteria; Vibrionales; Vibrionaceae
Description: partial 23S ribosomal RNA
Rfam family: Bacterial large subunit ribosomal RNA
Source: RNAcentral
GUAUCCUGUUGUGAAUACAUAGCAGCAGGAGGCAAACCGGGGGAACUGAAACAUCUAAGUACCCCGAGGAAGAGAAAUCAACCGAGAUUCCGAAAGUAGCGGCGAGCGAAAUUGGAUUAGCCCUUAAGCUUUUAAUGAUGCAGGUGAAGAGUCUGGAAAGUCUCGCAAUAAAGGGUGAUAGCCCCGUAACCGACACAUCAUAAUCAGUGAAAACGAGUAGGG